RNAcentral lists this transfer RNA (72 nucleotides) under bacterium. RNAcentral's name for it is "tRNA-Gly". It matches the Rfam family "tRNA". From Rfam's summary of the family: Transfer RNA (tRNA) molecules are approximately 80 nucleotides in length. Their secondary structure includes four short double-helical elements and three loops (D, anti-codon, and T loops). The record is from RNAcentral. RNAcentral also lists the same sequence under 3 other names.
GCGGGCAUAACUCAAUGGUAGAGUAUCAGCUUCCCAAGCUGGGUGUUGCGGGUUCGAUCCCCGUUGCCCGCU